UAUUUCAGGUGAUUUUAACAAGUGUACCACUCACUUCUGUGAUAUUCACAUUCGAUUCAUGGCCUUGGGGACAAACAGUGUGUAAAUUAUCGGAGACCAUCAAGGAUAUUUCUGUUGGUGUCUCCGUUUUCACUCUCUCCGCGUUAUCAGCCGAAAGGUAAGUUGUCAAACCCAGUUACGGUUGAGGAAAUUGUUGUCGACUCUUUAAUCAGUAAUCGAAAUAAAAUCUCAAACGUAGGUACUACGCGGUAGCAAACCCCAUACGCCGCCACGUAGCCGGAAUGAAAGCAGUUUCAUUGGCUAUACUAAUAUCCUGCUUCAUUUGGGUGCUGGCGGUGGUUUUGUCGAUGCCAGCUGCUCUGUUCUCCAGCGUGAUGAAUGUGAACACAACAUCGAACUCUACUGUCUACAUUUGUAAUCCUUUCCCUGUGGAAUUGGGGGCAAGCUAUAGACGAGGGAUGGUGCUUUUUAAGUUCCUGGCCUAUUACAUAAUACCUUUAUUCAUCAUAGCAACAUAUUAUUUUCAAAUUGUACGACACCUUCGGCAAUCCACCAGAAAUAUGCCAUGCGACUUAUCUGUAAUUCAACGGCUAGAGCAAAUUCGUUCACGCAGAAAGGUAGAGUGAAUCGAUAUUAUUAUGAAAUUAUACAAUUUUCAAGUAAAUCUAAUUUUGACACAAAUUUUGACAUUAUUUCUCUUGGCGACGUUUUCUUCCAACUAAUCUCCAUUUAUCUUUCUGAUAAAAAAGACUUCUGUGAAAGAAGUUAAAUAUCGAACUUGAGAAUUUAUUUAACGUAAUAUUUCAAAAGUUGAGGCAAAGGCGUAUUAUCUAACGACAACGGUGUCGAGACGUUGAAAGCAUAUUUACAGGAUCAAUUAAGCGAUGACUAAAUCUGCUAAGGUCGCGGUCGAUCUGAGACAGAUACCUGCGAAAUCUUAUUAUAGAUAUUGUAGUAUCGGGAAAAAGGGAUAGGAUUAGGAUAAUUUAGAUUUGUAAAAUUCUCCUAAUACUAUUUAUUUAAGAUAAGUAAAAAUAACAGAGAUUAAUUGGACAGAGAACGAUAAAUGUUCAACUUGAACUAAAACACAAAAGUCUUAUUCUACUCAAAUCACUCUCGCAACUCUAUAACGCAACAACUCGAUCUCUCUACAACGCUAGCAACUCUUUUUUUACUGUCUUACUAAAAAAUAUUCUAAUCUAGGUUUCUAAUAAUUAAAUUUUAACUAAUUAGACCAAGUACCAAGUUAGUUGUCCCAGUUUAAUACGUAUCUUUCGUUCUCUGUGAUCAACAGGUUGGAAAAAUGGUCAUUUCGAUCGUUUUAAUUUUCUUUAUCUGCUUCCUGCCCUACCAUAUGUUCAUGAUUUGGUUCCACUUCUUCGCUUCGAAUAUGAAGGAUUAUAACAACUACUGGCAUAUCUUCAGAAUUACUGCGUUUUGUAUGACUUUCAUAAAUAGCUGCGUGAACCCCCUUGUUUUAUACUGUGCCAGUACAUCAUUUCGCGUGAGGUGAGUAUGACAAGAUAAGCGACCUAUCAAAUGUCAGCUAUUAAACCUAAAACAUUGUAAAACGAAAUAACAAGUCGAAGCACACAUUCUCCUUAAAAUACUAUAUAUAGAAUGGAAAUGUUUAUGCAAAUUUAUGUUCUUACGAACACAAUUAGAAAAAUGGAACCUAAACAGAAUUUUGUUCCACUCCCCUUCUAUCUUUUUCCAUGUUAUUUAAAUAUUUUGAAAUGCAUAAAUAUCAGCAUUCUAAUUAUUAUAUUACAUUCUGUACUACAUGUUGCAUGAAAUGAUAACAUAUCCAUACUCAUUUCACUACCUCUACAUCAUAACUGACUAAAGAAACAACAAAGCAGUAUAAACGAGUACACGUCUGUAAACAAACAGGUUUGUAAACCGAAAACUCAAAAAAGCAAACAAACAAUUGAAAAACAAACAGAAAGCUUUUCAUAUCUGAAUAUAAAGUUUCGUACUGACCGAUGAACAACGUUUUGCUUACAGAUUCAAUAGAUAUCUUUGUUGUUUUUUGAGAAAAAGGAGAUCAAGCAUUUGUCAGGCCGGAACAAGCAGCGAUGGACGAACAACACUUUCACAAAGGAACCGAAUGGUUAGACGAAGUAGAUUUAGGGAAACCAGUUUCAGUACGACAUCCCGGAGAAAUACGCAAGAAUUGAACGCAACUGCCCCUCACGAAGAGACAAGACUCUAGACCUAAGACUUUAGAUAAUUCAUUACUUAGAUACAUUAGAUACUUACAUUUACAUUAGAUAAUUCAUUACUUAGAUACAUUAGAUACUUACAUUUACAUUA
Bombus terrestris (buff-tailed bumblebee) is the source of this 2316-nucleotide RNA transcript. RefSeq lists it as uncharacterized. The transcript has 2 exons. The record is from RefSeq and is a predicted model, not a curated record. NCBI's taxonomy places the organism in Eukaryota, Metazoa, Arthropoda, Insecta, Hymenoptera, Apidae.